This is a long non-coding RNA of Centropristis striata (black sea bass), 1129 nucleotides long. RefSeq lists it as uncharacterized. The record is from RefSeq and is a predicted model, not a curated record. NCBI's taxonomy places the organism in Eukaryota, Metazoa, Chordata, Actinopteri, Perciformes, Serranidae. The transcript is spliced from 5 exons.
GGAGCUCCUUAAAGAUAUUCAUACUGUACACACACUGUAGGCCUGAACUCCCGGCCUGGUGUUUAUAUCCAAACUUUUCAGAAGCUUUAGAACAUUUAAGUGUUAACAGUAACACAAAAAUAAAGGCCUUGGGAGGCUAAUUUUGGGAGAUUCCACAAAAGCAACUCCACAAUACCCUCCCAGGCUGAGUGUAAAGAAAGCAUUAGUAAGCGUGGCUUGGAGCAGUAACACUGUACUCAUAUUCUGCAUGCGUAAAAGACACUGCACACACUUGGCUACUUCUGGCAAUGUGCAAAUUCUGAUGACAAACAUUUCGUAGUAGAUUUAAGUAGAGAUGUAAUUUGAAACAUGAUAAUAACUUGCACAAUUGUACCAUCUCCUUUAACAAGGGGAAAGGGUGAAGCUCGAUAGACAGAGAGUAAAAGAUGGUGUUUGUUCUCAGAAGCAUCAUUUCGAAAGGUUUUUCUUUAUCAGCAAUCUAACGAGAAGCCAAUUAACUGACUCCUCAUCACUGUCCAACAUGAACUGCGCCCACACUCCCUAAAUGACAAGUGAAUAUGUUUACGACUGUUGUGUCUAUACGACGCCCGGAGAGGAGACAGUGGGUGAGGCCUGUCCCUUCUAAAGCACCCUGUGUCCAGAGCAGAACUAGGUCAACGGAGACCGCUGGUUGAUAAGGUGAUGCCACACGGCGCAGCUCUAAUUAUCGCCAAUUAAGAGAGUGUCAGCAGCAGGCAGAGGGAAGCUCUGGCUUUGGGACUUAAGUUGUGUCGGUGUGAAGUGCAUUGUUAGAGGCCACUCCAAGUACCGAUCCUCUUCACCACCCUGAGACCAGUAUUAAAGCACAGCUCAGUAAAGUCAAUGCUACAAUGGGCCAAGAUGAACAUUGUCAACCUGAUAUUUCCCCAGAAAGGUCACAGCUCAUGGUCUUUCUGAAUACUAGCGGCAACGACACUCAACAGGGAGGGAGGAGCUGAGAACUCCAGUCAUGUAAGCAGUGCAGAAAGAAAGCAUCGCUUCAUGCCAAGUGGAAUGUCCUCAGCAUCGGCAGUGGCUCCAGAGAAGGAGAGGUGUAUCACUUCAGCAGGAUACUGGUCCAUAGGUGUCUGGUUUCAGAUGGCAGGCAUGC